Amaranthus tricolor (Joseph's coat) is the source of this 1396-nucleotide long non-coding RNA. RefSeq lists it as uncharacterized. The record is from RefSeq and is a predicted model, not a curated record. The transcript is spliced from 3 exons. Lineage: Eukaryota; Viridiplantae; Streptophyta; Magnoliopsida; Caryophyllales; Amaranthaceae.
AUUAUUUAUAAAAGAAAUUGAUUUUUAUUGUGCAUAACCAAAAACUGCGCAUAGUAUCUCCCUCUCACCCAAACCACGACAUUAGUAUCUCCCUCACACCCAAACAGUGCCCGUAUCCCUCACCCAAAACUUUCUGCAUAGCCAACCGCCGCACAGCCCCAACGUAGAGUGCCCAACGACCAUGGUGGUUGUAAGAGUGUCCUCUUUGCUUCACACAAUAGCCAAAUCAGGCACAUAACCGAGAUGGGACGUUGCUCUUACAGACUUCCUCCAACACAUCCCAUAAGGUUGGCUCUUUCUCUCAACUUCUCAGUGUUCUACUUUGAGAUCUUCAAUUCUGUUGAUAAAGCUUGUAGCAUGGCUAAACAGUUUGCAUUGGAUUCUAUGUAGGAGCUUGCCAAAGUUUUUGAUUUUAUUAUUUGAUCACAAAAGAUGGACUUGUUAUCAUUGAUGCUCUUUAUAUUUGUCUACUACUCUUGUAGUCCUAUAUUAAGUGGUGAAGUAGGUAAAUAUUUUGCAGAGUUGAAUUAGUGAUACUGAGUGUAGAAAGUUUCCCUUUGAGGCCUUCGUGGAUUAAGUGUAAAACGGAGGAAAUAGUGAGUGAGAAAAUUUAUGGAAAUUUUAUAGACUUUGAUUGAUAGUGAAAGAGGAGGAUAAAGUAUAGUAAUCUUUUAUCCUUCUAGAAAAUCUUGGCUUGCUCAUUUUUCAUCCCACCAAUGCCAAUCAUUACUACUAUCUUCACCACCUCCAUCCUCAUACCCACCCCCAAGGUGUAGAAAAUAAGAAACAAAGUAACCCACAAAAAGUACCCCAAGGUGUAGAGAAGAACAGGGAUUUGAUGCACUUGGACGCAAAUCUACAGCCUAUUUCGGCUAGAAAGAAGAUGUGGAGUAUUUUGGACUGUUCUGUCGUCGAGCUCAGAAUCGAUCUUAAGGGGUAUAGUUUAAUUUGUUCAUGUGGCAUUCAUGUGUGCUAAAACUUUUGUGAUUUCUUCGAGUUUGCUAUCUGCUAUUUAUCUUCACAUUCUUGUACAGCUGGUAUAUUGUACAGCUGGUAUGUGUUUCGGACUUUGAUUGUGAUGAAUUGGUGUUCUGCUGUCAUCCGCUUGCUGUUGCUGCCUUCUGCUCUGCUGCUGCUUCCAUCUGAUGCAGCUGCUACCGUAGCUGCUGCUGCUGUUGAUGGUGCUGUCAUUGCUACUGCUGCCGUUGAUGUUACUGCUGUGUGCCAUCUGAAGCUGCUGCGUGCGUGUACUAAUGUUCUAAGGCUUGGUUGAUUCCUCUAGUUAGACAUGGGUGGAGUGUACUAAUGUUCUAAGAAGCUGUUUGAUAUUUUUUUAGACGUGCAUAUAUAUGUAUUUCUCUUGUUAUUAAUAUAUAAUUUUUAUAUUGUUGGUUCU